Molecule: ribosomal RNA, 464 nt
Filed under: uncultured bacterium
Lineage: Bacteria
Description: partial 16S ribosomal RNA
Rfam family: Bacterial small subunit ribosomal RNA
Source: RNAcentral
ACGAACGCUGGCGGCGUGCUUAACACAUGCCAGUCGAACGGAAAGGCCCCUUUGGGGGUACUCGAGUGGCGAACGGGUGAGUAACACGUGAGUAACCUGCCCUUGACUUCGGGAUAACUUCAGGAAACUGGGGCUAAUACCGGAUAGGAAUCCUUGCUGCAUGGUGGGGGUUGGAAAGCUUCGGCGGUUUUGGAUGGACUCGCGGCUUAUCAGCUUGUUGGUGGGGUAGUGGCUUACCAAGGCUUUGACGGGUAGCCGGCCUGAGAGGGCGACCGGCCACAUUGGGACUGAGAUACGGCCCAGACUCCUACGGGAGGCAGCAGUGGGGAAUAUUGCACAAGGGGCGGAAGCCUGAUGCAGCAACGCCGCGUGCGGGAUGACGGCCUUCGGGUUGUAAACCGCUUUCAGCAGGGGCGAAGCUUGUGGUGACGGUACCUGCAGAAGAAGCACCGGCUAACUACGUG